GACGAACGCUGGCGGCGUGCCUAAUACAUGCAAGUAGAACGCUGAAGGAGGAGCUUGCUUCUCUGGAUGAGUUGCGAACGGGUGAGUAACGCGUAGGUAACCUGCCUGGUAGCGGGGGAUAACUAUUGGAAACGAUAGCUAAUACCGCAUAAUAGUAGAUGUUGCAUGACAUUUGCUUAAAAGGUGCAAUUGCAUCACUACCAGAUGGACCUGCGUUGUAUUAGCUAGUUGGUGGGGUAACGGCUCACCAAGGCGACGAUACAUAGCCGACCUGAGAUGGUGAUCGGCAAAAAUGGGAAGGAGAAAAGGACCAGAAUCCUACGGGAGGCAGCAGUAGGGAAACUUCGGAAAUGGAAGGAAGUCUGACCGAGCAACGCCGCGUGAGUGAAGAAGGGUUUAGGAUCGUAAAGCUCUGUUGUAAGAGAAGAACGAGUGUGAGAGUGGAAAGUUCACACUGUGACGGUAACUUACCAGAAAGGGACGGCUAACUACGUG
This 495-nucleotide ribosomal RNA is filed under the name uncultured bacterium. Its description in RNAcentral is "partial 16S ribosomal RNA". It matches the Rfam family "Bacterial small subunit ribosomal RNA", at positions 28 to 507 of the family's 1533-position model. The record is from RNAcentral.